Molecule: ribosomal RNA, 486 nt
Filed under: uncultured Rhizophagus
Lineage: Eukaryota; Fungi; Glomeromycota; Glomeromycetes; Glomerales; Glomeraceae
Description: SSU rRNA
Rfam family: Eukaryotic small subunit ribosomal RNA
Source: RNAcentral
UGGUGCCAGCAGCCGCGGUAAUUCCAGCUCCAAUAGCGUAUAUUAAAGUUGUUGCAGUUAAAAAGCUCGUAGUUGAAUUUCGGGGCUAGUAGAUUGGUCAUGCCUCUGGUAUGUACUGGUCUCACUGAUUCCUCCUUCCUUAUGAACCGUAAUGCCAUUAAUUUGGUGUUGCGGGGAAUUUGGACUGUUACUUUGAAAAAAUUAGAGUGUUUAAAGCAAGCUAACGCUUGAAUACAUUAGCAUGGAAUAAUGAAAUAGGACGUUCGAUCUUAUUUUGUUGGUUUCUAGGAUUGACGUAAUGAUUAAUAGGGAUAGUGGGGGGCAUUAGUAUUCAAUUGUCAGAGGUGAAAUUCUUGGAUUUAUUGAAGACUAACUACUGCGAAAGCAUCUGCCAAGGAUGUUUUCAUUAAUCAAGAACGAAAGUUAGGGGAUCGAAGACGAUCAGAUACCGUCGUAGUCUUAACCAUAAACUAUGCCGACUAGGGA